This 329-nucleotide unclassified non-coding RNA is filed under the name soil metagenome. RNAcentral's name for it is "partial contains 5.8S ribosomal RNA, internal transcribed spacer 2, and large subunit ribosomal RNA". The stretch from base 1 to 120 matches the Rfam family "5.8S ribosomal RNA", at positions 35 to 154 of the family's 154-position model. The record is from RNAcentral.
GAUGAAGAACGUAGCGAAAUGCGAUAUGUAAUGUGAAUUGCAGAAUUCAGUGAAUCAUCGAAUCUUUGAACGCACAUUGCGCCCUCUGGUAUUCCGGGGGGCAUGCCUGUUCGAGCGUCAUUAUAACCACUCAAGCUCUCGCUUGGUAUUGGAGUUCGCGAUCUCGCGGCUCCUAAAAUCAGUGGCGGUGCCUGUCGGCUCUACGCGUAGUAAUACUCCUCGCGAUUGAGUCCGGUAGGUUUACUUGCCAGCAACCCCCAAUUUUUACAGGUUGACCUCGGAUCAGGUAGGGAUACCCGCUGAACUUAAGCAUAUCAAUAAGCGGAGGA